RNAcentral lists this ribosomal RNA (329 nucleotides) under uncultured eukaryote. Its description in RNAcentral is "partial 18S ribosomal RNA". It matches the Rfam family "Eukaryotic small subunit ribosomal RNA", at positions 1470 to 1796 of the family's 1831-position model. The record is from RNAcentral.
CCCUUAGAUGUUCUGGGCCGCACGCGCGCUACACUGAUGCAUUCAACGAGUCUAAAACCUGCUCUGAUAGGGGUGGGUAAUCUUUUGAAUGUGCAUCGUGAUUGGGAUAGAUGAUUGCAAUUUUUCAUCUUCAACGAGGAAUGCCUAGUAAACGCAAGUCAUCAGCUUGCGUUGAUUACGUCCCUGCCCUUUGUACACACCGCCCGUCGCUCCUACCGAUUGAAUGAUCCGAUGAAUAUCAUGGAUUGAGGAUGCAAGCAGGUUCGCCUGUCUUCAUCUUCGAGAAGUGAAGUAAAUCUUAUCAUUUAGAGGAAGGAGAAGUCGUAACA